GACGGUUUGGCUGAGUGGUCUAAGGUGCCAGAUUUAGGCUCUAGUUCGAGAGGGCGUGGGUUCAAAUCACACAGCUAUCA
Molecule: transfer RNA, 80 nt
Organism: Ipomoea nil (Japanese morning glory)
Lineage: Eukaryota; Viridiplantae; Streptophyta; Magnoliopsida; Solanales; Convolvulaceae
Rfam family: tRNA
About the family: Transfer RNA (tRNA) molecules are approximately 80 nucleotides in length. Their secondary structure includes four short double-helical elements and three loops (D, anti-codon, and T loops).
Source: Rfam